Molecule: RNA transcript, 7661 nt
Organism: Pipistrellus kuhlii (Kuhl's pipistrelle)
Lineage: Eukaryota; Metazoa; Chordata; Mammalia; Chiroptera; Vespertilionidae
Gene: RBM26
Gene name: RNA binding motif protein 26
Exons: 24
Source: RefSeq, a predicted model, not a curated record
GAGGGGAGAAGCUCCUGGCACCCCGCGGACUCGCGGCCUGCGGCGGCCCCCGCGGAGCUGUUCGCCGGCCCGGCUCGCGGGAGCCCGCCACCGGCGCCUCCCACCGCGGCCCACGCGGGCGGCGCGCGGAGGAGGGGGCGGGGGCAGCGGCGGCCGUAGCGGCCGCGACCUGGGCGGGCGGAGGAGAGUGACGGGCCCGGGGGCCGCCGUGGAUGGUUUCUAAGAUGAUCAUUGAAAACUUCGAGGCACUGAAGUCCUGGCUCAGCAAGACUCUGGAGCCCAUCUGUGAUGCAGAUCCAUCAGCCCUUGCAAAAUAUGUUCUUGCUUUGGUAAAAAAAGACAAAAGUGAAAAAGAAUUAAAGGCAUUAUGUAUUGAUCAACUGGAUGUAUUUCUUCAAAAAGAGACACAGAUAUUUGUGGAAAAACUUUUUGAUGCUGUGAAUACAAAGAGUUAUCUACCUCCUCCAGAGCAGCCAUCAUCAGGAAGCUUAAAAGUGGAAUUUUUUCAGCACCAAGAAAAAGAUAUAAAAAAAGACGAGAUUAUAAAAGAGGAAGAACGAGAGAAGAAGUUUUCCAGAAGGCUAAAUCACAGUCCUCCCCAGUCAAGCUCCCGAUAUAGAGAAAAUAGAAGUCGUGAUGAGAGGAAAAAGGAUGAUCGUUCUCGCAAAAGAGAUUAUGAUCGAAACCCUCCUCGAAGAGAUUCAUACAGAGACCGGUACAACAGAAGACGAGGGCGAAGUCGCAGUUACAGCAGGAGUCGGAGUCGAAGUUGGAGUAAAGAGAGGCUUCGUGACAGGGAUAGGGAUAGAAGCAGGACCAGAAGCAGGAGCAGAACACGAAGCAGGGAAAGAGAUCUGGUAAAACCUAAAUAUGACCUGGAUAGAGCAGAUCCACUAGAAAACAAUUAUACUCCAGUUUCUUCGGUACCUAACAUUUCAUCCGGUCACUACCCUGUACCUACUCUGAGCAGCACCAUAACAGUAAUUGCUCCUACACAUCAUGGUAAUAACACUACCGAAAGUUGGUCUGAAUUUCAUGAAGACCAAGUGGACCAUAACUCAUAUGUCAGACCACCAAUGCCAAAAAAGCGGUGUAGAGACUAUGAUGAAAAGGGUUUCUGUAUGAGAGGAGACAUGUGCCCUUUUGAUCAUGGAAGUGACCCAGUAGUUGUAGAAGAUGUGAAUCUUCCUGGCAUGCUGCCUUUCCCAGCACAGCCUCCUGUUGUUGAAGGACCACCUCCUCCUGGACUCCCCCCACCCCCACCAAUUCUUACACCCCCACCUGUGAAUCUGAGACCCCCAGUGCCACCACCAGGCCCAUUACCACCCAGUCUACCACCUGUCACAGAUGAUAUUUCUUAUUCUUUGGUUUUGACAGGACCACCACCUCCACUUCCUCCUUUGCAGCCAUCUGGCAUGGAUGCUCCCCCAAACUCUGCAACCAGUUCUGUUCCUACUGUAGUAACAACUGGCAUUCAUCACCAGCCUCCUCCUGCUCCACCCUCUCUUUUUACUGCAGUUUUUGUAUUACCAGAUACAUAUGACACAGAUGGCUACAAUCCUGAGGCCCCAAGCAUAACAAACACUUCCAGACCUAUGUAUAGACACAGAGUGCAUGCACAAAGGCCUAACUUGAUAGGAUUGACAUCAGGGGAUAUGGAUUUGCCACCCAGAGAAAAGCCUCCUAAUAAAAGCAGUAUGAGGAUAGUUGUGGAUUCAGAGUCAAGGAAAAGAACAAUUGGUUCUGGGGAGCCUGGAGUUACUACAAAGAAGACUUGGUUUGAUAAACCAAAUUUUAAUAGAACAAACAGCCCAGGCUUCCAGAAAAAGGUUCAGUUUGGAAAUGAAAACACCAAACUUGAACUUAGAAAAGUUCCACCAGAAUUAAAUAAUAUCAGCAAACUUAAUGAACAUUUUAGUCGAUUUGGAACUUUGGUUAACUUACAGGUUGCCUAUAAUGGUGAUCCUGAAGGUGCCCUUAUCCAAUUUGCAACAUAUGAAGAAGCAAAGAAAGCAAUAUCAAGUACAGAAGCAGUUCUAAACAAUCGCUUUAUUAAGGUUUAUUGGCACAGAGAAGGAGGCACCCAGCAAUUACAAACUACUUCUCCAAAGGUAAUGCAGCCUUUAGUCCAGCAGCCCAUUUUGCCUGUUGUGAAGCAGUCCGUAAAAGAGCGGUUGGGUCCAGUACCUACAAGUACCAUUGAACCAACAGAAGCCCAGAGUGCCAGUGCAGACCUUCCUCAGAAUGUAACUAAAUUAUCUGUGAAGGACAGGUUGGGUUUUGUAUCAAAGCCAUCUGUUUCAGCAACUGAAAAGGUGUUAUCUACAUCUACUGGCCUAACAAAAACAGUGUAUAAUCCAGCUGCUUUGAAGGCUGCACAAAAAACCUUACUUGUUUCCCCCUCUGCAGUUGAUAAUAAUGAAGCACAGAAAAAAAAACAGGAGGCACUGAAACUUCAGCAGGAUGUAAGGAAAAGAAAACAAGAAAUUUUAGAAAAGCACAUUGAAACACAGAAGAUGUUAAUAUCAAAACUGGAGAAAAACAAAGCAAUGAAGUCUGAAGAUAAAGCAGAAAUAAUGAAAACUUUAGAGGUUUUGACAAAAAAUAUUACCAAGUUGAAAGAUGAGGUCAAAGCUACUUCUCCUGGACGCUGUCUUCCAAAAAGUAUAAAAACCAAGACUCAGAUGCAGAAAGAAUUACUUGACACAGAGCUGGAUUUGUAUAAGAAGAUGCAAGCUGGAGAAGAAGUCACUGAACUUAGGAGAAAGUAUACAGAAUUACAGCUGGAAGCUGCCAAACGAGGGAUUCUUUCAUCUGGUCGGGGCAGAGGAGUCCAUUCAAGAGGUCGAGGUGCAGCUCAUGGCAGAGGCAGGGGUCGGGGUCGAGUUCGAGGUCGAGGUCGAGGUCGAGGUCGAGGUGUACUUGGUCAUGCUGUGGUGGAUCACCGUCCCAGGGCAUUGGAGAUUUCUGCAUUUACAGAGAGUGAUAGAGAAGAUCUUCUUCCUCAUUUUGCGCAAUAUGGUGAAAUUGAAGAUUGUCAGAUUGAUGACUCUUCACUUCAUGCAAUAAUUACAUUCAAGACAAGAGCAGAAGCUGAAGCAGCUGCAGUUCAUGGAGCUCGUUUCAAAGGGCAGGAUCUAAAACUGGCAUGGAAUAAACCAAUAACUAAUAUUUCAGCUGUAGAAGCAGAAGAGGUUGAACCUGAUGAAGAGGAAUUUCAGGAAGAGUCUAUGGUGGAUGACUCAUUACUUCAAGAUGAUGAUGAAGAAGAAGAGGACAAUGAAUCUCGUUCUUGGAGAAGAUGAUUUGACUGAUCAUUGAUCUGCACAUGCUAGAACUCUACCUGUGUUUCAUUAGUAUUACCUAAUGUACUUUUACAUAUUUGUAAAAACAAUUUUUUGGUAAAUGUGAGAAGAUGGAUUUCACAAAUAGAAGAAAAGAAAACUACCUUCUGCUCCUGUAUUUUGAAAGAUUGAUGUUUGCAUUUUAUUUCAGUAAACAAUUGCUAAAGACAUCACACUAGAAACAUGAAAUGUUUUUAUUACAUACUUCUACUGAACAAUACAGAAUUCUUUGGGUUCUUUGUAAUUUAAUGAAUAGGUCUAAAAACUUAUGACCAAUACUUGUAAUAACUUAGAGGAAUUUGUUUUACUCCAAUAAGGAAUGAAUUUGCAUUUAAAAUCUUAAUGAAUGUUUUCAAAAAUGAAUAGAUAACAUAGUACUCUAACUAAAGUCUCCAAGUAUGUAUUCAUAAUAUUACAUAGUAGUAUGCUUAGGCUUUACUAUGUAUUAGCCUUUUGUUGGACUUGUGUAUGUAUUUUACCAUAUGGGUUUCAAUGAUAAUGGUGUAUGACUGCUUUGCAUAUGACUCUCCUUAUGCAUUCAGAUGUUUAAAAUAAAGUGGAAUGGUCUUUUAAAAAGAAAAGAAAAGAAAAAAAAAGCAAUGGCAGAAAAAAAAAAAAACACACAACCAAGACGAUGUUCUUUGAUUUAAAAAAAAAAAAAAGAUAAAAAGAAAAAAGUUAAAAUAGACCAUUCCUAAUGGUGAUCUACCCUUUCCCCCAAUUAUCACAAAAGGAGCUAUAAUCACUAACUUAUUCUUAGUAAUAAUGAUUACUGAUACCUUUAUAAUAAUGUACAAUCCAAUGUUUAAAAUUUAUACCACUUCAGUUUGGUUUGAUCCUAUAAAUUUUCAACAGAUGUCUUAAAAUUUAAAAGCAGGCUGAUUAGUUUGGAAGCAGACUUCAAGUAGAGCUAACAUUUGGUGAAUAAGAAAACCACAUUACAUUUUGGAUGUGUGAAGGAAAACUUGACCAUUUGAAGAUGUAUGAAUAAAGAAAUGUACUAUAGAUACCACUUUAGGAAAACACUGUUUGUAGUCGUGAAAGGUGCCAAAUUGGCAGAGGCUCACGUUUCUUCUCUUUACACCAAACAGCAGAGAGAGAUCAUCAUUGCCUGAAUUUAGCUUUGUGACUACAACAGCAAGAUCUGUUCCUGUCUGGAGACGACUGUUAUAAUAAUUCUAUCAUUUUAUGUUUGCCUUCUAUCAAUUUGAAUAGAUGUUUACAUGUACUAUAAUUAGCAUUUUAUCUUUACAGUUCUCUAAGGGUACAUCUGAGUCCAGAAGUAUAUCUGAGUGUGUAUUUUGUCUGGCCUUAUUCUUAAAUGUUUCCUCUUCUUUAUUUUCUUUUUUUCUUUUACACCGUAAGAAGACAAAAGACCUCUUGGUUUCCUAAUAUGACAUAAGUUCAGUCUCAGUCAGGUUCAAAAUUGUGUCUAAGAAAUCUGUAAAGAGAUGAUGCUGUGUUAAUGAACACGAACAAUUUAGAAUGGAGAAAAUGAUUGAAAAAUUAAGCAUGGGUUACUUUUAAAAUUUCUGGGCUUUAAAAAGGUAUAUUUCUGGGGUUAGAAUAGUCACCUAAAUAAUUUUGGACAGAUGUUAAAAUACUUUUUUUUUAUACACACUUGCCUAUUCUAAAUAUUCUAAAUAUAUGUUCCCAAGACCACUUAUCUGAAUAAUUUUAAAGUUUUUAGCUCUUUAAAACCAACAAGGAGACUAUUUUUCUUUCUUUUCAAGAAUUGCAGGAUGACCUAUGGAGUAUAAAUAUUGAAAAGUAUCUAUUAAAUAUCUCUAGUUUACAAGGUUUUUCCAUAUUUUCUCACAGUCAAGAUAUCAAAGACAAUCUUGAAAGCAAGGAGGAAAGAAUGUUGUAUGUCUUACAUUGUUAAAGACUACUAUAAUUUUCCUAUUUUAAAACGUAUAUGCUCAUAUUUAUUACUACUAAUGUUAAUAUGGCUUAGAAUUAUUUCUAGAACAUGAUUUAAUUUAACCCAGAUAUUUACCAAAACACUCCUUUUAUAAUGGGUUCCAUUAAAAAAGUUUUCAGAAAAUCAGUAUUUGAAUAUUCAAAUUCUCCUUAGGCAUUUGAGAAGUUAUUCUUGAUACAAACUCUUUGUUAGGAAAGUCCAGACUACACUUGAUUCUGUUCACCCUUGUCCAUCUAUAUUUUCACUUUUUUUGCGUACAAAAUUGACCAUUCUGUAAACACUUUGAGUGUGCAUUGCAUUUGUCUUCAUGAAAAAUAAAAAGAAUGAACAUAUCUAUCAUAAUGUAAAUGAUCUAUUUUAAUCCACAUUAGUUGGAGAUAGCAUAGUUAAUAUUAGGUAUGGUUUGAAGGAAAAGUACAGACUUUGGAAGGAGUUCAAACAUAAUUAUGACCUAGUAUACAAGGCCUUUUUAAAAUUAAACUUUAAUUUUAGUUUAUAUUUGCAAACUAUCAUAUAACGAGUUUGUAAAUAUUUUUUCAGAUUAAUUUAGUAUUUUUUUCAUCGAAUAGUGGUUUCCAUCUAAUAGUGCCCAUCUAACAGUAGUUUCUGUGCUAGGUUAGAAACCUAAAGAAUGUUUUUUGAGACCAUAUUUGCUGUUUACAGUUUUAGUUGGUUAAUGGGUGUGGACCACAUACUACUGCCCUCAACUUUAUUUUGUCAUCUUCCUGUUUUUCCUUUGCCUUUAAAUUAAAAGCAAAAUAAAGCAAAACAAAAUGAACUACCAUUUGAAUCAGAGUCAAGGUGAUUUGAUUUUCAUUAAGAUCAUUGCACUUUUUGGAAAUUGCUGUGGGAUCUAGUAGAUCAGUUAAGUAGUUAAAUCCCCAUAUGUUGAUUAGCUAAAGAUAAGAAUUUUUAUUUCAUUUUCAUGAAUAAGAUUCUCAUGAAGCUAUGUAUAGAUAACUGUACAGAAUCACUUGUGUAAUUGAAUGAUGCAGUUUACCUCUGCAUGAUUGCAUUAUGGAAGUUUUUAUAUAUAUUUUUAAUAUACUUGGAUUUUACACUAUUAGCUGCUCUAAUCAUGCUAUUUAUAUUUGUUUUUUAAAAUAGAGUUUAUAAAUAUUUAUGCUCAAAAUACAGAUUGAAUAUUUUGGUCUUGUUUACAAGAUAAAUAAGUGAUGCAGCCCCAAAGUGUCUUAGGAAAAAGUCAUUGGUGCUAUAAAACCUUUCAAUAUCAUUUUUGAAUCAAUUGUUUGGACUACUAGGCUUUCAUCUGUGAUUGCUUCUGACUUGUUUUAUUCUAACAACAUCAGUAGAAAAGUGGUCUGUGGUGAGUACAGAGCCCAGACAAUUAGAAAACACCCCAUUAUUUAAAGAUAAGCAGAAUGAUGUUCUUAUUUUUGCCCAGCUUCCCCAAAAGAAACAGCUUUUUUAGUUUAUCAUUGGCUCUUUUGAUAAGAGGAACUGUGUUAACCUGGCUAAAAUUAAAAAAUGAAACAUUUAGCAUGGCUCAGUUUUCCUAUAUUUCAAAUAGAAAACUUUUCUAGUCUGAAAGUUCUACUUUAAAUUCCCAUUUGUCUUUUACUCAACAGGAGGCAGGGUAAUUCUUAAAUAUUUAUAGAACAUUUGAUGAGUUGGAAAGAGAUGUAUUAUUUACAUUGUACAAGUUUUGUGUUAAUGUAGAUUGUUUUCUACAUCUCCAAAACUUUAUUCCAGCACCUUAGUAAACAUUCUUAAGAUACAAUUUUUUAAGUAUCAGCAAAGCAUUUGUAGUUGUUUAUUUUUGAUUCUCAGAAUCCUGAACCUGUUCUGGAUGUGAUAGAACAUGUCUGGCACAAGAUUUCUUUUAAUAAGUGGUUUAACUCAACUUCUGUGGAUUGUUGAACUUAAAACACCAAAGGAAUCUUUUCUUGUCUGGAGACUGGAUUGUUCCAGUUUUUAAUACCUGUGCCCAUAAGAAUCCAUUUCAUGAAUGCGCGUUGGCAUGGAGAAAAAUUCCCUGCUCUUUGAAUGGAGCGAAAGAAAUUGGUUAAGCUGUAGCAGCUUUUUUUUUUUUUUUUUUUUUUUUUUUUUUUAAGCGAAACUUGAACUGAAAAAAGUAAAACUUGAACUAGAAAACUACUUUUGUAUGCUUAGAUUAUUUAUUAUAGUAUUACAUGUUUAUGUGAGGUUGUCAACAUUUUAAUUUAUAGUUGAAUUAUGUUUUGUUUGUUAAUAUCCAUGUUUAUUAUUUUUAUAUUUUGAAAAAUUUUUUAAUAAAAUAGUCUUACUUAAAAGCAAUUGUUAAUUUUUUUAAAUUGUCCUUCAUGUUGCAUCAAUAGAAAAAUGUGCAGCCCUCAGGCAUUGCACAAUUGAGAAUUCUGGAAAUGUUUAAAUAAAGAAAUGGCUUCACAUUG